RNAcentral lists this ribosomal RNA (433 nucleotides) under uncultured bacterium. Its description in RNAcentral is "partial 16S ribosomal RNA". It matches the Rfam family "Bacterial small subunit ribosomal RNA", at positions 29 to 507 of the family's 1533-position model. The record is from RNAcentral.
AACGAACGCUGGCGGCAUGCCUAACACAUGCAAGUCGAACGACACCUCCGUGACUAGUGGCGCUCGCGGGCGUCGCGUGGCGGAAGCUGGAGGUAUGCACGGAAUAAUACUCUGACAGGGGUGCUAACACCGGAUAAUGUCCGCGGAUACAAGAUUCAUCCUAUUGGGAUGGGCCGGCGUUGGUUUAGCUAGGUGGUAGGGUAAAAGCCGAUCACGGCGACGAUCGAUAGCUGGUCAGAGAGGAUGGUCCGCCACACUGGGGCUGUGACCCGGCCCGGACUCCUACGGGAGGGAGCAGUGGGGAAUAUAGGACUAUCGGCGGAGGGCUGAUCCAGCAAGGCCGCGUGAGUGAUGUAGUCCUUAAAGUUGUAAAGCUCUUUUACCCGGGAUGGUAAUGACGGUACCGAAAGAAUAAGCACCGGCUAACUCCGUG